Molecule: ribosomal RNA, 435 nt
Filed under: Streptococcus sp. oral taxon F97
Lineage: Bacteria; Bacillati; Bacillota; Bacilli; Lactobacillales; Streptococcaceae
Description: bacterial SSU rRNA
Rfam family: Bacterial small subunit ribosomal RNA
Source: RNAcentral
GACGAACGCUGGCGGCGUGCCUAAUACAUGCAAGUAGAACGCUGAAGGAGGAGCUUGCUUCUCUGGAUGAGUUGCGAACGGGUGAGUAACGCGUAGGUAACCUGCCUGGUAGCGGGGGAUAACUAUUGGAAACGAUAGCUAAUACCGCAUGAAAUGGAUUAUCGCAUGAUAAUCGAUUGAAAGGUGCAAAUGCAUCACUACCAGAUGGACCUGCGUUGUAUUAGCUAGUUGGUGAGGUAACGGCUCACCAAGGCAACGAUACAUAGCCGACCUGAGAGGGUGAUCGGCCACACUGGGACUGAGACACGGCCCAGACUCCUACGGGAGGCAGCAGUAGGGAAUCUUCGGCAAUGGACGGAAGUCUGACCGAGCAACGCCGCGUGAGUGAAGAAGGUUUUCGGAUCGUAAAGCUCUGUUGUAAGAGAAGAACGAGUG